UAGUGUCAUAGAUGCUAGCUCGAGUUGGAGGUCGUCGGAUAUCCUAUCACACUAACAAGUUAUUUAUAUCAAUGAUUUUCUAGCAUUUUAAGUGUAUGACAUGUAUAGGGAUUUGGUUAUUGUGUACAUGAUAGAAUAUUGGCCUAUGCUAACUGAAGGUCAUUGUUGUAUAAGGCCAUUUAGUGUGGCCAAUAUUUGCUAUGUUAUAAGUCUAUGAUGAACCAUUACAUGGAUGUGCUU
This 240-nucleotide long non-coding RNA is filed under the name Gossypium barbadense (sea-island cotton). Its description in RNAcentral is "long non-coding RNA (GBAR_LNC002318)". Lineage: Eukaryota; Viridiplantae; Streptophyta; Magnoliopsida; Malvales; Malvaceae. The record is from RNAcentral.